Molecule: transfer RNA, 73 nt
Filed under: Acropora cervicornis
Lineage: Eukaryota; Metazoa; Cnidaria; Anthozoa; Scleractinia; Acroporidae
Description: tRNA-OTHER
Rfam family: tRNA
About the family: Transfer RNA (tRNA) molecules are approximately 80 nucleotides in length. Their secondary structure includes four short double-helical elements and three loops (D, anti-codon, and T loops). Further hydrogen bonds mediate the characteristic L-shaped molecular structure. tRNAs have two regions of fundamental functional importance: the anti-codon, which is responsible for specific mRNA codon recognition, and the 3' end, to which the tRNAs corresponding amino acid is attached (by aminoacyl-tRNA synthetases). tRNAs cope with the degeneracy of the genetic code in two manners: having more than one tRNA (with a specific anti-codon) for a particular amino acid; and 'wobble' base-pairing, i.e. permitting non-standard base-pairing at the 3rd anti-codon position.
Source: RNAcentral
GCCUUCAUAGCUCAGUUGGUUUGAGCGUCGCAUCGGCUUCACGAGGUCACGGGUUUAAAUCCCGUUGAAGUCC